UCCUUUAGGUUUGAUUUUUGCAUUAAUUAAAUGGAAGAGUUUUGGAGUGGGAUAUGGUAAGAAAAUCGGGCGAUGCCGAAAAUUCCUGUUAAGGCCAUUAAUGAAAAUAUAUUCACUUUCCAUAUUCAUAUAAUCUUCAUGGAAAUAUCUUUUUGACGAGGGUGAUCGGUUUGUGCGGUUUUUGCUUACCAUGCUUUUGUUUGUUUAUUUUUGUAUUUAUUUUUUCUGGCCCUUGUGAUGUGGGUUUGUGUAAUGAGUUUUUUAUUUUUUUUAUUUUUAAGUUAAAGUUUGCUUCAGCUACUCAAGAAAUUGUUGAAACCAGUGAGAGUGAAUCAGGGUUUGUUGAAGUUGGGUAUAUAAGCAAUGCUCAUGGGCUUCAAGGGGAGAUUACUGUAUAAACCAACACUGAUUUUCCUGAAUUUCGACUUUCCAAGCCUGGAAGAAGAUGGCUGAGACAGCGGGUUUCAGGAAGAGAAACAAUUCAGGAAGUUGAGCUGGUUGAAGGAAGAGAUCAUCCUGGACAAAAGAAUUGGAUAGUUAGUUCACUGGCAUUGACACAGUAGACCUGGUUUGACAGAUGAAGGGGUGUACAUGGGAUUUGGAAUCAGGGAGAGUUUGAUUAGAUCUUGUACUGUCAUCGUUUCAUAGUGGAUUUUUCUCCAGGUGCACGCUCCGUGGAUGUAGGCAAUCUUACCGAAUCACGCUAAACGACUUGUUGGCUUAACUGUACUUGUUGAGGAAGAGGGCGAGUUUUACAGUCGAGAUCUCGUUGGCAUGAGAGUUAUUCUCCUGGAAACUGGUGAACUAGUGGGAAUUGUAGUCAAUGUCUUCAAUACUGGAGCAAAUGAUCUUUUACAGGGUAUGCUUGAUUCAUCAAGAGUAAUGCCUGAUGAAACUGGAAUGCCAAGACUAGGAACUGAUGUUUCUGAUUCCCUUGCAUGGGUACCAUUUGUUGAAGCAAUUGUUCCUAUUGUUGACAUGGACAGAAGAGAAAUGCAGAUUACCCUUCCAAAGGGACUCCUUGAAUUAAAUUACGGUCUGAUAUGGGGUCCAAGAAAGAAA
Malania oleifera is the source of this 1062-nucleotide long non-coding RNA. RefSeq lists it as uncharacterized. The transcript has 5 exons. NCBI's taxonomy places the organism in Eukaryota, Viridiplantae, Streptophyta, Magnoliopsida, Santalales, Ximeniaceae. The record is from RefSeq and is a predicted model, not a curated record.